UACGUAGGCAGCGAGCGUUGUUCGGAGUUACUGGGCGUAAAGGGCGCGUAGGCGGCUUGGCAAGUGGAAGGUGAAAUCCCUCGGCUUAACCGAGGAACUGCCCUCCAAACUGCUUCGCUUGAGACCGGGAGAGGUGAGUGGAAUUCCCAGUGUAGCGGUGAAAUGCGUAGAUAUUGGGAGGAACACCAGUGGCGAAGGCGGCUCACUGGACCGGUACUGACGCUGAUGCGCGAAAGCGUGGGGAGCAAACAGG
Molecule: ribosomal RNA, 253 nt
Filed under: uncultured bacterium
Lineage: Bacteria
Description: partial 16S ribosomal RNA
Rfam family: Bacterial small subunit ribosomal RNA
Source: RNAcentral